Molecule: long non-coding RNA, 4135 nt
Organism: Scylla paramamosain (green mud crab)
Lineage: Eukaryota; Metazoa; Arthropoda; Malacostraca; Decapoda; Portunidae
Exons: 2
Source: RefSeq, a predicted model, not a curated record
UCCAAGUCAAAGCGCUCCGCCAGCCCGCCCGUCAGGUCCACCAUCGCGUCCAUACUCUGCCCGCCCUCCAGCGCCUCAUACGACCCGUGCAGUCUGGAGGGGGAGUGAGAGGGAGAGAGAGGGUGUGGCGAUAUUAUCAGGAGCGCCACCCAGAACUCCUGCGGGUGGGUGCUGCGGGCGAAAAUAAGGGCGUCACUCUUCGUGGGCAGCCUGUCAUCCACCACCACCAACACCCACGUGCCGAACCGCCACAGCCGACACACCACCAGCCCCGUGUACCCGUCCCCGUGCAGCGCCUGGUCCGGGGGCACUACCUGACGGCACAGAAGGAGGAGAGAUGGGUGUUGCGUGUGUUAAUGUUGGUGGUGUUGAUUGUGUUUAUCCUCUCUCUCUCUCUCUCUCUCUCUCUCUCUCUCUCUCUCUCUCUCUCUCUCUCUCUCUCUCUCUCUCUCUCUCUCUCUCUCUCAUUAUUUUUUACGAGAGAUGGAGAAAGAUUAUAGAGAUGAAAAUGAAUGGAGAAAAGUAAGUGAGGAAGGAAGGAAGGAAGGAAGAGAAUAAGAGGGGCAGAACACUUAGGCAAUCUUGUGAGUGUACAUUACACACACACGCACACACGCACACACCCACGCAUUCCUGAACUAUUGAUAAACACUAUUAUUACUGUCACUACUACUACUACUACUACUACUACUACUACUACUACUACUACUGCUACUACUAUUACUAUCGAUCUGUCUGCUAUCUAAUUACUUGCAGUGUGUGUGUUUGUGUGUGUGUGUGUGUGCUCUUUGAUUACCGUGUGGAAGGGAGAGGAAGAAAGGGAAGGGAGAGGGAGGAGUGGGAAAGAGGGAGAGGGAAGGUAAAUUGCCUUAUUUACCUUGUUAAUUUACGUUGGUUCGUCCUUAUACCUGUACUUUCUCUCUCUCUCUCUCUCUCUCUCUCUCUCUCUCUCUCUCUCUCUCUCUCUCUCUCUCUCUCUCUCUCUCUCUCCCUUUUCCUUUCCUUUCCUCCCUUAAAUCCUCCUCCUCCUCUUCCUCCUCUUCCUCCUCCUCCCUCAAAGAAAACAUUUCACACCAUUUUCUUCCCUCCUCCUCCUCCUCCUCCUCCCACCACCACCAUCACCUCCGAUUUCCAUCCCCUCCUCCUCCUCCUCCGCUUUCCUUUCCCUCUUCUUCCUCCUCCUCCUCCUUCUCCUCCUCCUCCUCCUCCUCCUCCUCCUCCUCCUCCCGUCUCUUUUCUUCUCACUCCUCCUCCUCCUCCUCUUUCCCCUCGUCCUCUCAUCCCUCUAAACCAACAUCCUUCCUUUUUUCUUCCUUCCCUCCCUUCCUCCUCCUCCCAUCUCCUCCGCUUCUCCUCUUCUUUCCUUCUCUCCUUCUCCGCCUCUCCUUCACUUCUUCCUUUCUCUCCUCUCUUCCUCCAUAAAAAAAAAUUCACACAUUUUCCUUCCCUCCUCCCCCUCCUCCCACCACUACCAUCACCACCACCUCCUCCUUUUCUUCCCUUCUGUGUCCCUUUCCUCCUCCUCCUCCUCCUCCUCCCCUAAUAAAAAUAACGUCUUUCAAAUCCUUUCCUCUCCACCACCACCACCGCCACCACCACCACCGCCACCACCGCCGCCGCCACCUCACCCUCUCUAUCAGCUUGGGUUUCCUGGCCACGGCGGCGCACGAGGACAGGAACCAACAGUCCCCCAGCGCGCCCUGCACCACGUCUCUCCUGCUGGCGCCGUCCACGAACAUGUAGGGCGAGUCCACCAGCUCCUGAAGGGGAGAGAGAGGGAGAGGGAGAGAUAGAGAGUGUAUUAGACAGCUCUAUAGGUGUAAUGGGACAGGUGUAAUAGAGAUGGUUGAGAGUAUAGACAAUACAUGGAGUAUACAGCCCAGGUAGAUAUGUGUAUAGUUAGUUAAUUAGUAUCUUGGUGUAUGAGACAAAUGUGCUGAAUGGAUGGGAAUCCCUGGGGCCUGCCGAUACCUCAGGCCGGCCCGUGUGGGGCGACGGGCAGCCAGUCUCCCUCAGUGUUUUCCAGCUGUUUCCAGAUUCAGGUGUGUAGAUAAUACGCAGAUAAGUGCUUUAUGUGUGUGUGUGUGUGUGUGUGUGUGUGUGUGUGUGUGUGUGUGUGUGUGUGUGUGUGUGUGUGUGUGUGUGUGUGUGUGCAGAGAGUGUUUUAUAGGCAAGUGUAAAGGCUGGGGCUGGGUGUAGGUACCAGGUAUACAUGUGUAUGGUUGGGUGUUUAGUACCCUGGUGCCUUAGACAGCUGUAUGGGACAGGUGUGUUCCCCCUCCAUCCCUCCCGCAGGCACUCACGUGGGGCCGCCGCCACACCACGUCGGGCUCCUCGCGUUCCGAUAAGAAGAGGGAGGAGGGAUCUGCCGGGAAGGAGUCAUCCGUGAACAGCUCACCCGGCGCCAGGCUGUUCCUUAGAUUCUCCACCGCCUCGGCCUCCUGCAGGGGCGUGGCAAGUUGAGGCAGGGGUGUCUCAGGGGCAGACAGGGGCGUGAAUGGCGUGUGGGGUUGUUGGAUAUUAUGAGGGAGGUCUUGAGGGUGAGAAUGGAGGUGAUAGGGAGGGAAAGGGAGGUGAGGUGAUGUGUUUUGGUUGGGGGGAGGAGGGGGAGAGGAGAAAAGGGAAGGGAAGAGGAGAGGACGGAGGAAAGGGAGGAGAUAAGGUGUUGAACUGAGAGAGAGAGAGAGAGAGAGAGAGAGAGAGAGAGAGAGAGAGAGAGAGAGAGAGAGAGAGAGAGAGAGAGAGAGAGAGAGAGAGAGAGAGAGAGUGUCAGGGCUGUGAGUUCACUAAGACAAUUAAGUCAUUCCUCUUCCAUCUGGUAACGCUCAUGGUUAUACUGAGGCAAUAAUGUGUUAAUACUAAGGCAAUAAUGUGUCACUCAGUCAAGGUUGUUCUGUUAAGUAGGUCUGCCGUUCACGAGUCGCCUGUGGGGUCUGACUGAGGGCCGGGGGGCUGGCGGUCACGCGGGUCCAGCUCUGGGGGUCGUAACAGUUAGGGUGAUGAGAUGAAGAGAUAAGAAGCUUGUAGAUAUGCCAGGAAGAUAAGAGAUUAACAAAACACAGAGCCAUUAGGUGAUUAACAAAAACGCCAUUCUCUCUCUCUCUCUCUCUCUCUCUCUCUCUCUCUCUCUCUCUCUCUCUCUCUCUCUCUCUCUCUCUCUCUCUCUCACCAUAACUCCCAGGCGACCAUCCUCGAAGUCAGUCUCCGGCAGCUCAAAGGCACCGCUCUCCACAUUCUUGGGCGCCUCCCUCGCCUCCUCCACCACCUGCACCUCCUCUUCCACCGAUAUCUGUUUGGGGAGAGAUAGAGAGUGGUGGUGGUGGUCAGGUGGUGUAGUUGGGUACAUGUAUCAAAAGAACUAUCAUUAAUAUCAGUAGUAGUAGUAAUAGUAGUAGUAGUAGUAGUAGUAGUAGUAGUAGUAGUAGGAGGAGGAGGAGGAGGAGGAGGAGGAGGGAGGAGGGAGAACGUUACGUUAAAUUAUAGCAAAUACACAUCAUUAUUAGUAGUAGAGCAGUAGUUACAGAAUAGUAGUAGCAGUAAUAGUUGCAGUAGAAGCGGUGCAGUGAGGUAGGUUUAGUGUUUUGGCGGGAAAGGUCAGAGAGAGAGAGAGAGAGAGAGAGAGAGAGAGAGAGAGAGAGAGAGAGAGAGAGAGAGAGAGAGAGAGAGAGAGAGAGAGAGAGUCGCAGGUUCAGGAGCAUGACGUCACUACCUCAAAGGCCACUGCAUUCCACACACACCACAGAUUUGAACUUCUCAAUUCCUAUUUCUCCUCCUCCUUCUCCUGAUCCUAAUCCUUCUUCCUCCAAUACAUUCUUAUACAUAUUUUAUUUCUUCUUUACUUACUCUCCUCCUCCCCCUCCUCCUACCACUACUACUACUACUACUACUACUAUUAUUACUCCUUCACCUUAUUCUCAUCUUCCUUCCCAUCCUAAUCCUCCUCCUGCUCCUCUUCCUUCAAGAAUGUCCCCGCCACCACAGCAAUAUACAAGCACCUACUGCUACGACUACUACUACUACUAGAAGUGUUUAAGUGCAAAAUAUACAUAAACUUUAUCUAAAUUACAAAGCAGACAGGAUAAGCAAAAUUAAUGUCUCUCUCUCUCUCUCUCUCUCUCUCUCUCUCUCUCUCUCU